This is a long non-coding RNA of Xenia sp. Carnegie-2017, 616 nucleotides long. RefSeq lists it as uncharacterized. The record is from RefSeq and is a predicted model, not a curated record. The transcript has 3 exons. Lineage: Eukaryota; Metazoa; Cnidaria; Anthozoa; Malacalcyonacea; Xeniidae.
AGGUCAGCCAACUUCGAAGGAUGGUUUCGAAACAGACAACACCAAAUUCAGCAGAAGUUACUCUUACUCCAUUUGGAAGCGUUGGCCGUUGCUGAUAUGUCGUCAUGGAUGACCGCGAAAAAUGAGGUCGAAAUUGUGGAUUUUAUCCUCAAAACACGAGAAAAAAUGAAAAGUGCUAGGCAUUUCGAAACCCAAGUCACAGACGAUGUUUUGAAAAAGCUAUGUCUUCAGAUGGAACAAGUGUUGGAUACCUUACCACAAGAUCUUCAACACAUUCUACGAAAGGGUUGAACUUCAUUUGGUGCAAGAAAGUUGUGGGCACCCAACCGGUGAAGGGAAAGAAAAGAUCCGGUCUUAGGAAGGGACGGCCGCACAAAGUUGCCAUUCUAAGCUCUUUCCAAAAUUUUUUUGCAAGCAAUUGCUUAAAUUUCUUUGAGAGAGAAUGCGGAUUUCCAUGUCAAAAGUCAGUCGGGAAAUCUAUGCGACAACGAAGCAAGCUUCGGGGAAAGAGAAUGUACAAAUUUUAUUGGAAUAAAUUGGAUAUAUUGUACAAUGCUGUGCUAUUCAAUGUUCAUGUGAUACAUAAUAAAAGGCGUUGUUUUGUUCUGGUGGGUAA